GCGCCUGUAGCUCAAUUGGAUAGAGCAACGGAUUUCUAAUCCGUAGGUUGAGGGUUCAAUUCCCCCCGGGCGUACCA
Molecule: transfer RNA, 77 nt
Filed under: Caldifarciminota bacterium
Lineage: Bacteria; Pseudomonadati; Caldifarciminota
Also listed under: 2 other names
Description: tRNA-Arg
Rfam family: tRNA
About the family: Transfer RNA (tRNA) molecules are approximately 80 nucleotides in length.
Source: RNAcentral